GUCCCUGUAGCUUACAGCCAAAGCAUGACACUGAAGAUGUUAAGACGGUACUUUCCAUCUACCCAAGGACA
This 71-nucleotide transfer RNA is filed under the name Crypturellus cinnamomeus. Its description in RNAcentral is "tRNA-Phe". It matches the Rfam family "tRNA". Rfam says of the family: Transfer RNA (tRNA) molecules are approximately 80 nucleotides in length. Their secondary structure includes four short double-helical elements and three loops (D, anti-codon, and T loops). The record is from RNAcentral. Lineage: Eukaryota; Metazoa; Chordata; Aves; Tinamiformes; Tinamidae.